CCUGGUAUGUUGUGUCCCAGUCAGUGCUUUGCUGCCCUGGAACCAGCAUUGUGUUCAUGGAUUCAUUCAUUUCUCCAUCCAGGAAGUACUCAUUGAGCAACUAGUAGUACCAGGCUCUUAAGAUCUUCCAGUGAAUAAAAUAGAUAAAAGUAAUUUUUAAGAACCUUGUAUUUUAAAAAUACUGGUGCAGCUGGAGCAGAGAGGAGGGGAAAGGAUGGGAGAUGCAGCCAAAAGGUAGCAGGAGGCCAGAUGAUGGAGGACUAUGGAGGCCAUCGUUCGAACUUUGGCUCUUUUGCUGAGUGGUGUGGGAAGCAAUUGGAGGUGCUUUGAAUGGCACAAUCUGACAUAAUUUACUUGGGUCACUCUAGCAAUAGUGUGGAGACAAGAUUGGUCCUCAAUAGUACUGUUCGGCUAAUGGUAGGAUUGUGUUGUCUAGCCCUCCUGUAGGUGGGACUGUGUGACUAAUAUUAGCCAAGGGGUUAUAAAAGAUAGGAACACCAUUCACUUUCAGAUGGAGAAUCAGAUUUCUGUUGUGAAACAGAAAUGAAAAGCUGCAUUUUUACUUCACCACAGCAACUUAUAAGAAUCCAGAUAGUGACUCCUCUAUCAUCAGGAGUAAAGACCACAUGGAGCAGAGGCCCUGACUGACCUGCAAUGGACAUAAAAUGAAUUCCUAAACAUACGAAAAAAUAAAGUUACCAUCAUCCUGGAAGAAUUGUAUAGGAAAAUGUUGGAGACCCACUGAAAGUUAAUAGCUACCCAUUCUAAUAGAAGACAGGCACAUACACUGAAUGAUCUCCUGAGUCUAUUGCAAUAGAACGAUUAUCCUUCUUUAUUACAACUUCCUGCUCUCAUUUCCCCUGCUAUCCUAAAAAAAAAAGGUAAGUAAAGCAAAGAUACAAAAUUAGGUUAUAAACCAGAUCAUAUAUGACAACAGAACUCUAGUCCAAAUCCUCUGUAGCAACCAGCUGAUGAAUCAAAACCACAACUUCUGUAGCAAUCAUACCAGAAUACUCAAAACUUGGCUAAUGACUACCAACUUCUCGGUUUCUUAUUCACUCAACCAGAGAAAGACAAGCAUGUUCCUGAAAGCAAUCAUAUAAGAUAUCCUACUUCUAAUUAGUCCACCUGUAGCUUCUCCAUCCCAACAACCUCUAUUACAGUAUACCUGAAUCCUCCCUCCACAUUUUUUUUGCUACAAAGCUUUUUCACUCUUUUGCCUGCCUUUGAAUCUCUGUGAAAUUGAAAUCAUGGUGACUCCAUUACUAUAGAAAGCUCUAAAACAUAUAGCCUCUGUUUGUUCCCACUUGGGUGGUCUUCCUGUAUUUUUGCAGUUUUCCUGGAGGAUCCACCAAGAUAUAACCUGAACUGUUCAUCAUUAUGGGGCCCACACUUUGGUGUAAAAUUACCCAUGGAGUGCCCUGAAUCUUGUUGAUCACAAUGAGUGGAGGCUGUGCUGACAUAGUAAACCAGCACCUGGUCUGAACUCUGCUGUCUUUUUGUUGAGCUCCACAGCUAUUUAUUCUGCUUGGCACCCAGGUUUUGUUAUUGCUUCCCAGAUUUUGGCAUUCUUGUUAGAAUCAGGCCAUUCAUUUUCAUCCUGUUCUCCUCCCUUUUGUGCUUCUGUUUUGUGCUAUCUAAAAUUGUUGUUAGUCAAAGGGAGAAUCACAGAUUUGAACACAACCAUGCCUUAUAACCCUGUUACAUAAGUCAGCCACACAAACAGGUGAGUGUUGUUCUCACUGGACAGGCAUCAUUUUGGACAAACUUUGCUCUGGGUCACCAGUAAUAUUAGACAAAGCUCUUUUUCCAUCUAGAUUUUCGGUCCUGAUGUUUUGGCUUUGACACAGAAAGAACAAUAUUUCUGGUUUUCUUUCUGAUGUGGAGUGAAGAUUGUCUAGUCUGAAUUUAAAAAUGGCCAACUAUUAGAUUUGGUGCCUGAGACAGGAAAUGGACAAGCAUCACUUUUUGACCAGCUAUUGCCAAAUCUUAUGAGACCA
Macaca mulatta (Rhesus monkey) is the source of this 2000-nucleotide non-coding RNA. The record is from RefSeq and is a predicted model, not a curated record. Lineage: Eukaryota; Metazoa; Chordata; Mammalia; Primates; Cercopithecidae.